RNAcentral lists this ribosomal RNA (409 nucleotides) under uncultured Propionicicella sp. RNAcentral describes it as "bacterial SSU rRNA". It matches the Rfam family "Bacterial small subunit ribosomal RNA", at positions 355 to 776 of the family's 1533-position model. The record is from RNAcentral. Lineage: Bacteria; Bacillati; Actinomycetota; Actinomycetes; Propionibacteriales; Nocardioidaceae.
UGGGGAAUAUUGCACAAUGGGCGAAAGCCUGAUGCAGCAACGCCGCGUGCGGGAUGACGGCCUUCGGGUUGUAAACCGCUUUCAGCAGGGACGAAGUGAAAAUGACGGUACCUGCAGAAGAAGCACCGGCUAACUACGUGCCAGCAGCCGCGGUGAUACGUAGGGUGCGAGCGUUGUCCGGAAUUAUUGGGCGUAAAGAGCUUGUAGGCGGUCCGUUGCGUCGGAAGUGAAAACUCAGGGCUUAACCCUGAGCCUGCUUUCGAUACGGGCGGACUUGAGGAAUGUAGGGGAGAACGGAAUUCCUGGUGGAGCGGUGGAAUGCGCAGAUAUCAGGAGGAACACCAGUGGCGAAGGCGGUUCUCUGGACAUUUCCUGACGCUGAGAAGCGAAAGCGUGGGGAGCAAACAGG